This 407-nucleotide ribosomal RNA is filed under the name uncultured bacterium. RNAcentral's name for it is "bacterial SSU rRNA". It matches the Rfam family "Bacterial small subunit ribosomal RNA", at positions 369 to 774 of the family's 1533-position model. The record is from RNAcentral.
CAAUGGACGCAAGUCUGAACCAGCCAUGCCGCGUGAAGGAUGAAGGUCCUCUGGAUUGUAAACUUCUUUUAUCUGGGACGAAAACGGGAUUUUUAUCUCAAUUGACGGUACCAGAGGAAUAAGCACCGGCCAACUCCGUGCCAGCAGCCGCGGUAAUACGGAGGGUGCGAGCGUUAUCCGGAUUUACUGGGUUUAAAGGGUGCGUAGGUGGGCUUAUAAGUCAGUGGUGAAAUCUCCGAGCUUAACUUGGAAACUGCCGUUGAUACUAUAGGUCUUGAAUUAUCUGGAGGUAAGCGGAAUAUGUCAUGGAGCGGUGAAAUGCUUAGAGAUGACAUAGAACACCAAUUGCGAAGGCAGCUUACUACAUAUAAAUUGACGCUGAGGCACGAAAGCGUGGGGAUCAAACA